CUCAGGCUUCUAGAAGAUGACACCCAGAAUCAGCUGGCAGACGCUUUGACAACCAGCUCAUUGUGUUUACACACCAUGCAUGCACACAAUAAAGGGAUCAAGUCAUUGGUUCUACAGAAAUGAACAAUAUUACAGUGAGACAGUACUUGCUGGACGAGGGAACACAGAUACAGAAAAGUUUUCCCCCCGUCACCAUUCAGUGUUAAUCUCUUUUGCGGAUCAUCAUCUCUAUUCUGAAUGGUUUCAGUGUUCACAAACAGCUUCAUGACUCAGAGCUUUAGAACAGCUCAGUGUGUUAUUGUUAUUAUGGAAGGAACCCCACAGAGAAACGGACGUAAUAAUAAAUCUACCGGAGGCCUCGAGGAAGGGGAGGCCAAUCCGAAGGCUCCUUGACUCCCGUUUUGUGAUCAAUUAACUGACUGACUCUUUGUGUCUUCAUGUUGGAAGUGAACUGGAGGUUAAAGAGACGGCACACAUCACUUCACAUUCUUCACAUCGGUUAACGCUCAUCUCUGAGCUGCUGGAGCGGCCUCACAGAAGAUUUUAAUAUUUCAGUUAUUAUGUCGUUUCUCAUUGUAUUUUAUUUUAAUACAUUUAAAUCUUACAUCUGAGCAUUUUCAGUGACCUCUGACACUGAUCAGGUACGGCACCAGAGGCCACUGCUAUUUGUGUCGUGUACAACUGGUGAUUCAAAUGAAACAGAGAAAAGUAACAAGUCCUCAGUCACAGUAAACGCCAUCAAAUCACUCACGGUUUCAGAGAUAUGCCGACUCAAUCUCUCAUCCAAAACAAUUAUUACAAUAAAGUGUUGCAGGAAUGAGUCGGAAAACCCAUAAAAGAGUCUGCAUGUAAAAAUAUAGAAAUACGGUCAUAGUCAACACUCACCUCAGGAUAUUUUAAUGCUUUUACUAUGACAAAGUACCUAAACGUAAAUAUCCCUCUCUUGGUUGUUUUUAUUUUGUGCAAUAAUUCAAAAUCCAAGAUAUCAGAAAAAGAGUCCUGAGAGACCGGAGUCUGGAACCACAUCAGGACCUCAGGGAUCAUUGACAAUGGAAUAAGAAAUAAUCUACUACAAGCUUUCUAUAUUUGUAUGUUUGGUUCAUUCCAGCCAAAUUCUAAAUAGCCAAAAAUUAACAAAUAUUUAUGCAACAGAAGAACAACAUCUCAAACCCCUGAGAUGCCAGUGAGAAGCAUCAGAGUCUGAAAUCAUUUUCUAUGUUCAAGACCAAGGAUUGGUUGAAAUAAAUAAUUAUUCUACGUUACUUAUUUAUCAUCAUUUUUUGGGGGAAUAUUCGAGAGACUAAAGGUCAUCACUCCCCCUGUUCUCAUUUGAACUAACCGUUUUCACCUUGUCUUCUUUGUGCACUCUUAACACAAAGAACACAUUUUGCGUGGAAGGAAAAAAUGGAAGGUAAAAAGAUUAUCCUGGCGAAGCAUUUUCUUUCCCUUGUCUUGAAGUCAUAAAUAAAGCGGAUGGCAUCCUUGGUCCUAAAAAGUAAAGACAAUGAGAAAGUAUCCUGAAACUGCAUUCUCUGUAGUGACCACCAGGGGGCGACUCCUCUGGUCCCAUAGAAGUCUAUGAGAAAACGCUCUCUUCCUUAAUACAGCAUGAUGUUAUCUUAUGAGUCAACCAGUCCAAGCAGGGGAUGCGUCUACACAACCCUUUGUGUUUUCAGCUUAUUGUUAUAGUUUAUUAUAACAUUUUGGGGGCCUGAAUGUUGAAUAACACAUUGCCAUUACCUGCAUGCCUACAAUAAUGGUCAAUACAAUUAAUACUGAGUAAUGACAGUUUUUCUGGUGUAUCUUUGGGUCUAUAUACCUGCAUGCCAUUAUACUGCUGAGACCUUUGGUCACUAUCUGGUUUCUACUUUAGCCUUUCGUAGUGGACCAGCCAGAACCACUGGCUGUGCUGUCUACUCGGCAUGUGGAGCUCAGUUUUUUUGGGUUGGACCGGGGGGGCGGGGGGGGAGCAGGUACAGGUUUAUCCUGCAUGUUGAUACGUUUCUUUCCUUCACUGAAACCACCACUGGUAGCGUGUAGAGGCCGUUUGGAUCAUUUAGCGCUAUGCUAACAUUGUAGCUGGUCCAUCUAAACUCAAAAUAAUGUCUUCUAGUCACAAAGCAUCAGCAAAAUGACUGUUCACACACGUACAUUUAAACACACGAUACUUGAUCCUUGUAAUUGUCCAUUUCUGAUCCAACGUUAGUGACGAACAAUCAAAGUUCCCUUUGCGCUUGGUGGGAGCACUCCGUGAUACCGUCACCGACGUUGGCUCCAAGUCGAGUAAAGCUGAAGAUGUGCAAACAUGCGUCUGCACACGACGUCACACAACAUGUAUCAGCUGAUUCAGAUUAGGAACCUUUGCUGAC
Long non-coding RNA from Gasterosteus aculeatus aculeatus (three-spined stickleback), 2369 nucleotides. The record is from Ensembl. NCBI's taxonomy places the organism in Eukaryota, Metazoa, Chordata, Actinopteri, Perciformes, Gasterosteidae.